This 23-nucleotide non-coding RNA is filed under the name Cricetulus griseus (Chinese hamster). Lineage: Eukaryota; Metazoa; Chordata; Mammalia; Rodentia; Cricetidae. The record is from RNAcentral.
AAUAGACUUGGCUACGUAGCUGA